Molecule: ribosomal RNA, 506 nt
Filed under: uncultured bacterium
Lineage: Bacteria
Description: partial 16S ribosomal RNA
Rfam family: Bacterial small subunit ribosomal RNA
Source: RNAcentral
AUUGAACGCUGGCGGCAGGCCUAACACAUGCAAGUCGAACGGUAACAGGAAACAGCUUGCUGUUUCGCUGACGAGUGGCGGACGGGUGAGUAAUGUCUGGGAAACUGCCUGAUGGAGGGGGAUAACUACUGGAAACGGUAGCUAAUACCGCAUAACGUCGCAAGACCAAAGAGGGGGACCUUCGGGCCUCUUGCCAUCGGAUGUGCCAAGAUGGGAUUAGCUAGUAGGUGGGGUAACGGCUCACCUAGGCGACGAUCCCUAGCUGGUCUGACAGGAUGACCAGCCACACUGGAACUGAGACACGGUCCAGACUCCUACGGGAGGCAGCAGUGGGGAAUAUUGCACAAUGGGCGCAAGCCUGAUGCAGCCAUGCCGCGUGUAUGAAGAAGGCCUUCGGGUUGUAAAGUACUUUCAGCGGGGAGGAAGGGAGUAAAGUCAAUACCUUUGCUCAUUGACGUUACCCGCAGAAGAAGCACCGGCUAACUCCGUGCCAGCCGCCGCUGUAA